Molecule: ribosomal RNA, 773 nt
Filed under: uncultured Neocallimastigales
Lineage: Eukaryota; Fungi; Neocallimastigomycota; Neocallimastigomycetes; Neocallimastigales
Description: partial large subunit ribosomal RNA
Rfam family: Eukaryotic large subunit ribosomal RNA
Source: RNAcentral
CAUAGCGACUAUCGUGGCAUAUCAAUAAGCGGAGGAAAAGAAACUAACAAGGAUUCCCUUAGUAACGGCGAGUGAAGCGGGAAGAGCUCAAAUUUGAAAUCUUCAAGGUUCUACCUUGACGAAUUGUAGUUUAUAGAAGUGUUUUCUGUUAGUGGAGUGGCAAAAGUUCUUUGGAAUAGGACAUCAUAGAGGGUGAGAAUCCCGUAUUUGGUCAUUCCUCCUAGCGUUGUGAUACACUUUCAACGAGUCGGAUUGUUUGGGAAUGCAGUCCAAAAUGGGUGGUAAAUUUCAUCUAAAGCUAAAUAUUGGCGAGAGACCGAUAGCGAACAAGUACCGUGAGGGAAAGAUGAAAAGAACUUUGAAAAGAGAGUUAAACAGUACGUGAAAUUGUCAAAAGGGAAGCGUUUGACACCAGUGUUGUUUUUCCGAAAAUCAAUUACGAAUGUUUUGUUUUUGAGGAGUUAUGACUUCAUCGGCUUGCUCCUUUCUUUACGAAACUUUCUUAAUGCACUUUUCGGUUAACAAGUCAACAUCAAUUUCUUUUGUUGUAAAAGGGUAUGAGGAAGGUGGCUUUCCUUUCGGAGAAAGUGUUUAUAGCCUUGUGCCUCUGCAAUCGGAGAGAUUGAGGUCUGCAGCGUAGAUCCUUCGGGGUUAGAUACGUUUGUGCUAAGUUAUAGCUUUUCAUAGACAACUUGUUGACUAUGUUAGUCUUGUAGCUUACUCGCUUAUGCUAUUUUACCUACGCUUAGGAUGUUGACGAGACUGUCGAUCUC